Molecule: long non-coding RNA, 339 nt
Organism: Hippocampus comes (tiger tail seahorse)
Lineage: Eukaryota; Metazoa; Chordata; Actinopteri; Syngnathiformes; Syngnathidae
Exons: 3
Source: RefSeq, a predicted model, not a curated record
AUUAUUGUGACAGCACAGUGCAUCCCUCAUUUUAAUGUCUUUCUUCUACUUGCUGAUAUUUCAAAAGGUGAAGUGUAAACUUUGUUCCAAAGAACUUGGGUACCAAGAGAACACGUCAUCUAUGUUGAGGCAUUAUAGGGCCCUGCAUGAAAAUAAGGAGACAACUCAAACAGAACCACCCCCAGUGAAUAAGAAUGCAGUGGAAGAGGCAUUAAUCAAUAUGGUGAUUGAAGAUUGCCAGCCCUUCAGUUUUGUGGAGGACACAGGGUUCAGGAAGCUUAUCCAAGCUUUCGACCCUACAUAUGUUCUCCCCACCAGGCGGACUUUGAAAGCCAUGGU